CACAGCCUGUAAGAUGGUGAGGUGGCUCUCGGCCAAGCUGGGCCCCACUGUCACAUCCCGCUUCAUCGCCAGGAACCUGCUCCGUCUGCUCACGUCCUGCUACAUUGGUAAUGUCUGCUCCUGGGGUGACUGUGCUGGAUGCCUCCUGGCUGCUGCUUCAGCUCUCGCUGUUGACUCCUUGCAGGCCCCACCAGGCAGCAGUUUGUACCCAGCAAUGAUGAGAACGGUCCCCUGAGCACAGGAAACAUCUACCAAAAGCGGCCGGUGCUGGGAGAUCAGGUGUCCAAGCCGGUGCUGGCUUGUCUUCUGCACGUGGCAUACCUGUAUGGAGAACCCGUCCUCACCUACCAGUACCUGCCCUACAUCAGCUACCUGGUUGCACCUGGCAGUGGGUCUGGCGGCGGC
RNAcentral lists this long non-coding RNA (405 nucleotides) under Gallus gallus (chicken). RNAcentral's name for it is "long non-coding RNA NONGGAT003476". The record is from RNAcentral. Lineage: Eukaryota; Metazoa; Chordata; Aves; Galliformes; Phasianidae.